Molecule: transfer RNA, 72 nt
Filed under: Prasiolopsis wulf-kochii
Lineage: Eukaryota; Viridiplantae; Chlorophyta; Trebouxiophyceae; Prasiolales; Prasiolaceae
Description: tRNA-Arg
Rfam family: tRNA
About the family: Transfer RNA (tRNA) molecules are approximately 80 nucleotides in length. Their secondary structure includes four short double-helical elements and three loops (D, anti-codon, and T loops). Further hydrogen bonds mediate the characteristic L-shaped molecular structure. tRNAs have two regions of fundamental functional importance: the anti-codon, which is responsible for specific mRNA codon recognition, and the 3' end, to which the tRNAs corresponding amino acid is attached (by aminoacyl-tRNA synthetases). tRNAs cope with the degeneracy of the genetic code in two manners: having more than one tRNA (with a specific anti-codon) for a particular amino acid; and 'wobble' base-pairing, i.e. permitting non-standard base-pairing at the 3rd anti-codon position.
Source: RNAcentral
GGGCUCAUCGUUUAAUGGAUAGGACAUCGAUCUUCUAAAUCGUGAAUGUAGGUUCGAAUCCUACUGGGCCUA